CAGGCCUAACACAUGCAAGUCGAACGGCAGCACGGGAGCUUGCUCCUGGUGGCGAGUGGCGGACGGGUGAGUAACGCGUAGGAAUCUGCCUGGUAGUGGGGGACAACUUGGGGAAACUCAAGCUAAUACCGCAUACGCCCUACGGGGGAAAGCGGAGGAUCUUCGGACUUCGCGCUAUCAGAUGAGCCUGCGUAGGAUUAGCUUGUUGGUGGGGUAAAGGCUCACCAAGGCGACGAUCCUUAGCUGGUCUGAGAGGAUGAUCAGCCACACUGGGACUGAGACACGGCCCAGACUCCUACGGGAGGCAGCAGUGGGGAAUAUUGGACAAUGGGCGAAAGCCUGAUCCAGCAAUGCCGCGUGUGUGAAGAAGGCCUGCGGGUUGUAAAGCACUUUCAGUAGCGAGGAAAAGCUGAUGGUUAAUACCCAUUGGUCUUGACGUUAACUACAGAAGAAGCACCGGCUAACUCCGUGCCAGCAGCCGCGGUAAU
RNAcentral lists this ribosomal RNA (488 nucleotides) under uncultured bacterium. RNAcentral describes it as "bacterial SSU rRNA". It matches the Rfam family "Bacterial small subunit ribosomal RNA", at positions 43 to 524 of the family's 1533-position model. The record is from RNAcentral.